CACUCCUACGGGAGGCAGCAGUGGGGAAUAUUGCACAAUGGGCGCAAGCCUGAUGCAGCCAUGCCGCGUGUAUGAAGAAGGCCUUCGGGUUGUAAAGUACUUUCAGCGGGGAGGAAGGCAAUACGGUUAAUAACCGUGUUGAUUGACGUUACCCGCAGAAGAAGCACCGGCUAACUCCGUGCCAGCAGCCGCGGUAAUACGGAGGGUGCAAGCGUUAAUCGGAAUUACUGGGCGUAAAGCGCACGCAGGCGGUCUGUCAAGUCGGAUGUGAAAUCCCCGGGCUCAACCUGGGAACUGCAUUCGAAACUGGCAGGCUUGAGUCUUGUAGAGGGGGGUAGAAUUCCAGGUGUAGCGGUGAAAUGCGUAGAGAUCUGGAGGAAUACCGGUGGCGAAGGCGGCCCCCUGGACAAAGACUGACGCUCAGGUGCGAAAGCGUGGGGAGCAAACAGGAUUAGAAACCCUUGUAGUCCC
RNAcentral lists this ribosomal RNA (471 nucleotides) under uncultured organism. RNAcentral describes it as "partial 16S ribosomal RNA". It matches the Rfam family "Bacterial small subunit ribosomal RNA", at positions 334 to 797 of the family's 1533-position model. The record is from RNAcentral.